GGUUGUUCCGCCACAUCGGGACUGAGACACUGCCCGGACCUCCACGGAGGGCUGCAGUAACGAAUAUUGCGCAAUGGGCGAAAGCCUGACGCAGCGACGCCGCGUGUAGGAGGAAGUCUUUCGGGAUGUAAACUACUGUCAGGGGGAAGAAAGUCGGCUUCGGCCGAUUGAUCUAACCCAGAGGAAGUCACGGCUAACUUCGUGCCAGCAGCCGCGGUAAAACGAAGGUGGCGAGCGUUGUUCGGUAUCACUGGGCUUAAAGCGUGUGCAGGCGGAACAGACAGCGUCGGGUGAAAGCCCUCGGCUUAACCGAGGAAGGGCUCGACGAACCACUGUUCUUGAGGCAAGUAGGGGUGCGCGGAACUCUUGGUGGAGCGGUGGAAUGCGUAGAUAUCAAGAGGAACGCCGGUGGUGAAGACGGUGCACUGGACUUGUCCUGACGCUCAGACACGAAAGCGUGGGGAGCGAACGGGAUUAGAUACCCCGGUAGUCCACGCUGUAAACGAUGUCUACUAGGUUGUGGAGGUUCUGACGCCGUCACGGCCGAAGCUAAAGUGCUAAGUAGACCGCCUGGGGAGUACGGCCGCAAGGCUAAAACUCAAAGGAAUUGACGGGGGCUCACACAAGCGGUGGAGCAUGUGGAUUAAUUCGAAACAACGCGCAGAACCUUACCUGGGCUUGACAUGCUUGGAUGCCAUCCUGGAAACAGGGGAAGCUGCCCUUCGGGGUGAAACUUGCACAGGUGCUGCAUGGCUGUCGUCAGCUCGUGUCGUGAGAUGUCGGGUUAAGUCCUUUAACGAGCGAAACCCUUGCCGUUAGUUACCAGCGGGUAAUGCCGGGAACUCUAAUGGGACCGCCGGUGUGAAACCGGAGGAAGGUGGGGACGACGUCAAGUCCUCAUGGCCUUUAUGUCCAGGGCUUCACACGUGCUACAAUGGCGGUGACAGAGCGACGCAAUACCGUGAGGUGGAGCAAAUCGCAAAAACAUCGCCCCAGUUCGGAUUGCAGGCUGGCAAUUCGCCUGCAUUAAGUCGGAAUCGCUAGUAAUCGCGUAUCAGCUACGACGCGGUGAAUGUGUUCCUGAGCCUUGUACACACCGCCCGUCAAGUGAUGGGAGUUGGGAGCACCCGAAGUCGGUUUGCCAACCUUUUAGGAGGCGGCUGCCUACGGUGAGCCCGAUGACUGGCACUAAGUCGGAACAAGGUA
This 1206-nucleotide ribosomal RNA is filed under the name metagenome. Its description in RNAcentral is "bacterial SSU rRNA". It matches the Rfam family "Bacterial small subunit ribosomal RNA", at positions 298 to 1498 of the family's 1533-position model. The record is from RNAcentral.